AUCCGGAAGUUCUGGGAGCUCGGCCGCGCGGGAGGAAUGAAGGGCCCGGGGUUGUCGAGGCCCACGCUCCGCCACCCGGGCGGUCGCUUCGCAUGCUGGGAGUUGUAGUUCGAUGCAGUUUAGGGUUUUGGGCGUGGGCUCCAAAAUCCUAGAUUUGACCUCUGCCGGCUCUGAGCCGUUAUUGGCUGCCGUUAAGGACCGUUACCAUUCUCAGAUUUGCGGAGGCUGAAUGAAGGCUAAUGAAAUGGAGCUCAUGAAGAGUGAUUAUGGAGGAUGAUGGUGCUGGUGUCUGGCCCCUUGCCAUUCUUGCAAUCUAAAGCUUAAGUAAGACACCCUGCAUGGUAUUUUACUGCAAACCAAGCAGUUUUGGCUCAGUGGAGAGCUUUUCUGGUAGAUAGGCAAGCAAUGUGACUAAGGUGACCAAGCUCAGAAUGCAAGUAUGAGUCCAAGGUUCUGGAAUCCAAGUUAGAAUCUUCUAAAAUCUUAGAUUUCGUAGGAUUCCUGAUUUCUCUAUAGUAAAAAUUUAAAUUUUUACGUUUUUUAAAAAAAAUUAAAAAAAAAAAAAAUUGAGUAUAUGUGACACUUCGUUUGUUUUUUUCUUUUUUUCGGCCAUGCCACGUGGUGGCUUAUAGACUCCUAGUUCCCCAGCCAGGGACUGAACCUAACCCUGGCAGUGAAAGCACCAAGUCCUAACCUCUGGACCACCAGGGAAUUCUCAACACCUUUUUAAAAACUUUAUGUUUAUUAUUUUAUUUAAGAAAUAUCUUUUUUUUUUUUUUAUUUAUUUGGUUGUACUGGCUCUUAGUUGAAGCAUGUGGGAUCUAGUUCCCUGACCAGGGAUCAAACCCAGUCCCCCUGCAUUGGGAGUGCUGAGUCUUAGCCACUGGAGCACGAGAGAAGUCCCCAACACCUUUUUUUUUUUAAUGUCCAUUUAAUGACUGAAUUUUGCCACAUGUGACUUCAAUGCCUGAGCUUACUUGAAUGUCUAAGUAACUAAGCCUGUGUGCCACAACUACUGAAGCCUGAGCGGUCUAGAACCUGUGCUCUGCAACAAGAGAAGCCACUGCAGUGAGAAGCCUGAGCUCUGCAACAAAGACCUAGCACAGCC
This 1108-nucleotide transfer RNA is filed under the name Bos mutus (wild yak). RNAcentral describes it as "lncRNA (ENSBMUG00000009474.1)". The record is from RNAcentral. Lineage: Eukaryota; Metazoa; Chordata; Mammalia; Artiodactyla; Bovidae.